CACUCAUUCAUUAUUCUCCACCUUACCUCCAUUAAUUCCAGCUCCCACCUUCACUUAUUAUCUCUCUCUUUCGGUCUGGUGUUAAAGUGAUUUAUUUAGCUCAUUGCUUCAAUUCAAUUCAAUUCAUCAACGACUCAAUGCCUUAUUCCACCCAAAUCUGAUACGUUAAAUAUCCAGCUAUUACAUUGCGAAUGAAGUUUAUCGGGCGUUGAGGGGGCUAUGAUGACUAAAUGUGAUUUGCCAGCUAAGUCAUAUUCUAUGACUUCGGAAGUGCAAAGGUUUUGGUAAUUUUUUUUUAAAAAUAUAUAGAUUUCAAUACACAAAUGCCAUUCUUCAUUUGGUAAGCAUUUUUUUUAUUAUUUCAGUUUUGAGUUGAUUCUUACUUGAUCUAGAUCUUGGUGGGUCCUUAUGAACGGACUAAAGAUGGUUUUCAAGAUCCCAUAAGCAAGAACUGACUCAUUUUAUUUCAAAUGCUUUUUAUUGCAUAUUGUUGCUAUGCACAGUUAGAUAUCCAGCUAUUACAUUGUGAAUGAAGUUUAUCGGCCGUUGAGGGGGCUAUGAUGACUAAACGUGAUUUGCCAGCUCAUAUUCUGUGACUUUGGAAGUGCAAAGGUUCUGUUUUGAGUUGAUUCUUACUUGAUCUAGAUCUUGGUGGGUCCUUAUGAACGGACUAAAGAUGGUUUUCAAGAUCCCAUGAGCAGGGCUGAUGGGCCCGAGUUUAUUACACAAUGUCCAAUUAGACCAGGAGGGAGUUACACAUACCGGUUCAUAAUUUCAUGACAAGAAGGAACUUAUAGCUCGUGGCUUUGAGCUACUGUUUAUGGUGCAGAAAUAGUGUCCGUUCGAUAAAACAGUGUCCAUUUACCGUAAUUAGUUAAUUCGCUGCUGCAAAUUCUUUUCACUCGCUGAUAUUACGAUCCGCGUAUAUAAUUCAAAAGGGAUUUGACGCAGAAUCAAAGUACAUCAGCGGAGCUCUUUUCAAAUGCAGAAAUUCGCUAUUGUUCGUUGCAGAACCUGUUAAUCUGUUGGUGUUUACAGGUUUGUUGAAAAGUCAUUCUUAUCUACGGUUUGUUCAUCUUCAAUCGAUUAUCUUUUCGGAUUCUAAUAAUCAAAUUUCGUCAUCUACAAGGGGUGUUCAACAAUGGGAUGCCAAAAGUGUGAAAUAAAAUUAUUGAUGGUGAAUAACCAAUUUGAUUUGAAAAACUUGGACUUGGACAGAUCUCAAGGAGUUGUUCAAAAGGAUAUGACCGAAGGCUGAACUAGACUUUUCAAAGUGUAAUUUGGUCAAAGUGAUACGUGUUGCACCUAGCAAAGCAAUCGAGAAGAGGUGAUGUUGUUAUGGCUUCCCUUCAGACUAAAUACGUUAUCAAGACCAUGCAAUGAUCACAAGAUCAAGAGGUAAAAUGUAGUUCAAGAUUUGGGGCUCAUUCACUAUUAGAGAUUAAUCGAGUAAAAGACAAACAACGUAUAAAUAUUGGCUAGGAUGAUUCGUGGCGCUACACAGGCAAAUUUGGUGGAGUCAGAUAAACAUUAUAAAGGAUUCAACUAAAGGAAGAUUCGAUAUAUCUGCAGGAGAAAAGGAUGUGGAACCGUCACAUGGGUUCAUUUGGGUCCAUGACUCCACGUGCACCAGACGUGGAUGGAUGGAUCGACGAGCGAUGAUCAAAGUUGGUUUGAGGUUGUACGGCUUGCCCGCCUUUGAGUACCAAAAAUGUGUAGUACUCUUGCUAGAGAAGGCAUUGAGUAGACUUCCAGAAGGUAAAGAAGAGAUACUUGGAGACUUCCAGAAGGUAAAGAAGAUAUACUUGGAAUAUUUGAUCUUCAAGGAUUUAGUUUGAAGAAUUCAGAUCUUAAAUUCUUGACAUUUUUGUUUGAUGUCUUGUAUUAUUAUUACCCGAGCCGACUGGGGCAAGUGCUAUUUGUCGAAGCUCCAUUUGUAUUUCAGCCAAUUUGGCAGCUUGCCAAGCCUUUAGUAAAGUCGUAUGCUUCUCUGGUACGGUUUUGCUCGGCGGAUGAUAUGAGAAAGGAGUAUUUUACAGAAUCAACACUUCCAGAAAGCUUUAGACAUUAACAACAUAUGCUGGUUUCUUCAUGUAUACAAAAAUCAUUCCAGUUAACCGAGACAACAUUCAAGACUUUGGAUUGGAUGGCACGAACACUAUGCUUCACCCUCCCUUUUUCAAUGCUUGCUUAUCCUUUUUACAUGUUGGCAGCAUCUGUUGAAGUUUUAAGGAAGGCGCAGUUGUGAUUGAAAAAUAGGGAAGCUUUGUGAAAUGUGAACGAGCCAUAUUGCAAUUUUAUGGGAAGAGGCGACCAUGGUGGUGGAGGUUUCUUCGUCGAUUAACUUCGUCUUUGUACCUGCUCUAGAUUCCAUUCGAUUUAGCGUUUUUUGUAGCUGGCGUUGGGUUAAUUAGGAUCGAUUGCCGAAUGGUUUUAUUAGUUGUUUUCGUGGCGUUAAAUACAAUACUGGUGCUUUUCUUUGCCGAAGGUUUGAGAUGGUUAUUUUGUGAUUAAGGUACCUUAUUCUCUUAUGAUUUAAUUGAACUUAUUGUAGUGCUUUGCUUCAUGACUCAAAGUUUUUGAAUAAAGUCUUUUAAAUGAACAA
Long non-coding RNA from Helianthus annuus (common sunflower), 2605 nucleotides. RefSeq lists it as uncharacterized. The transcript has 16 exons. The record is from RefSeq and is a predicted model, not a curated record. NCBI's taxonomy places the organism in Eukaryota, Viridiplantae, Streptophyta, Magnoliopsida, Asterales, Asteraceae.